GGCUCAGGAUGAACGCUGGCGGCGUGCUUAACACAUGCAAGUCGAACGAUGAACCUCACUUGUGGGGGGAUUAGUGGCGAACGGGUGAGUAACACGUGAGUAACCUGCCCUUGACUCUGGGAUAAGCCUGGGAAACCGGGUCUAAUACUGGAUACGACCUUCUGGCGCAUGCCAUGUUGGUGGAAAGCUUUUGUGGUUUUGGAUGGACUCGCGGCCUAUCAGCUUGUUGGUGGGGUAAUGGCCUACCAAGGCGACGACGGGUAGCCGGCCUGAGAGGGUGACCGGCCACACUGGGACUGAGACACGGCCCAGACUCCUACGGGAGGCAGCAGUGGGGAAUAUUGCACAAUGGGCGCAAGCCUGAUGCAGCGACGCCGCGUGAGGGAUGAAGGCCUUCGGGUUGUAAACCUCUUUCAGUAGGGAAGAAGCUGGCCUUUCGGGGUUGGUGACGGUACCUGCAGAAGAAGCGCCGGCUAACUACGUGCCAGCAGCCGCGGUAAUACGUAGGGCGCAAGCGUUAUCCGGAAUUAUUGGGCGUAAAGAGCUCGUAGGCGGUUUGUCGCGUCUGCCGUGAAAGUCCGGGGCUUAACUCCGGAUCUGCGGUGGGUACGGGCAGACUAGAGUGCAGUAGGGGAGACUGGAAUUCCUGGUGUAGCGGUGAAAUGCGCAGAUAUCAGGAGGAACACCGAUGGCGAAGGCAGGUCUCUGGGCUGUAACUGACGCUGAGGAGCGAAAGCAUGGGGAGCGAACAGGAUUAGAUACCCUGGUAGUCCAUGCCGUAAACGUUGGGCACUAGGUGUGGGGGACAUUCCACGUUUUCCGCGCCGUAGCUAACGCAUUAA
This 842-nucleotide ribosomal RNA is filed under the name actinobacterium HA-est-Is50-14. Its description in RNAcentral is "bacterial SSU rRNA". It matches the Rfam family "Bacterial small subunit ribosomal RNA", at positions 21 to 863 of the family's 1533-position model. The record is from RNAcentral. Lineage: Bacteria; Bacillati; Actinomycetota; Actinomycetes.